UGCGUGGAGAGUCUGGCAAGCGUGGAAAGGGGUCGGCCCCGAGUCGUGUGGCGCUUGGAGAGGCCGCUGGAGGCGAGGGCUGUUGCGGCGCUGAGGCGAAUACAUCUAGGGUUUCGGUGUUUUGGGGUUUGGGUAAUUGGGCCUAGUAGUUUUGCUGUAUUGGGCCAUGUCCUGUUUUGUGCGGGCUUGGGUUAUUUUUGUUUGUUUUUAUUAUUUUAAAAGCCCGGG
RNAcentral lists this long non-coding RNA (228 nucleotides) under Gossypium raimondii (Peruvian cotton). Its description in RNAcentral is "long non-coding RNA (GRAI_LNC003018)". The record is from RNAcentral. Lineage: Eukaryota; Viridiplantae; Streptophyta; Magnoliopsida; Malvales; Malvaceae.